GGAGGGGGUGCCGGUCUGCGGGCCAGCAGCUGGCAGCCUGCUACUCCUGCCAGGGUCCAGCGCUCCGCUAGGGUAGAGUCCGUCAUUAGUGCUGAAUCCAGUUGUGCCCGGACCAGAAGAGACACCAGAGCCAGUCCCGUCCCCUCCCCGGGCUGGUCAUAGCAGGGCCAUUUCCUAUUCUUCCACCACCUUACCUGGGCAGGUCAGACCCGGUUCACCUGACCGCUCACAGAUGUGUUCUCACUCACUCUCGACCGACGCAUGCUGGAGCAGAGCACACCCAGGCAGCGCCCAACCGGGACUCACCCACCUGCCCGGGUCCUCGCCUGCACACAGGACAAACUGAG
This 347-nucleotide long non-coding RNA is filed under the name Pan troglodytes (chimpanzee). Its description in RNAcentral is "long non-coding RNA NONPTRT005771". Lineage: Eukaryota; Metazoa; Chordata; Mammalia; Primates; Hominidae. The record is from RNAcentral.